CUCCAUUUCACAGCUUCUGUUGGCGCCUUCAAGAGCCAUAAAGUUAUGAACUGCCGCACAUGAUGUAGAAACCAACAGCAGCAGGUUCCCAAAUAACAUUAGGAAUAUUUUGUUUGGAAAUAAUGAACGUUCAGUGCUCAAAAUAGCUAAUAAAGGGAAAUUGUUGCUACCCAAUACAUGAUUAACUCUUUUUCUUAUAUAGUCAGUCUAGAAUUUUUUGCGUCCGUGGGGACUUUUUAAGAUGAGCAUAGGGACUUACCACAAGUCGUGUAGGGACAUGGUCGAAAAUAAGUUGGCAACACACGAUAGUUUUCCUAUUAUUGAUAACUGUUGAUUCGAACAAAAUUUCGUAAUUGUGGCAACUGUGUGCUGAUGAAUGUAGUAGUCCCUUCUGUAUGAGUACUGGACCUUAUAGUCACAGAAAUUGAGGCCACAAUGACAGUAGAAUUGAAUCAGCUGGGAGAUGCUCUGCCUGUAUUGCAGUUUUCUUCCGUGUCAAGGCAAUUGGGGCAGCAGUGUAGCAGUAGCUUAAUAACCAGGUUAUGUGACGGCACAUAGCCAUUUUUUGUCAUCGAUCACUACAUUCCGUCAUUUGUAAGUUUUGAUACCUCAAGAGCUGGAAUUACAUGAUUUGCCUGAGGUGAAACAUCAAUUUUGAAGAUGAAAUUUGUGGUAUCGUAAUGGAGCAAGCAAUGGGGAACAUAACAGCACACUGAACGAAAGCAUAUGCAGAUGAUGAUUGACGACAUCCUGUGUUUUACAAUUCCAGUCUCAAUACAUCACAUAUGAAUAACACAGUUGUUUUGUGUAAGUGCUACUCAAAGAUGAAGAGGAAGUUGUGUUGGGCUGCAUCAAACCAGUCAGAACAAUGCUUAACGAAAUUUUCAUUACUACCUCUUACAAGCGUUGUGCGCCCCUUUUUGUGCUACAGACAACCCUAAAGUGGUGUACUGAAUGUCAUUUUUCUUUCUGGCGUCGUAAUUAUGUACCUCAUUGUUCAUUUUGAGCUGGGGUGUAUUAUGAACAACCAACUUCAUGAGGGAAUAAAUAUACUGUAAACAGUAGUCAGAAUGCUCAACUCUUUUAACAGAUGUCUACAAGAUGAUCAUGGGUGACAGCAAUGUUCGUCAAGUCUUUUGGUACAGUGAGAGUUUCUUCUGGAUGUGGAACAGGCGUAGCUUGCACUCACCUGAAAGUGCAAACCUCGACAUUACCAGAAGGCUUGGAUGUGGUGCCAGGGCUGUGGAAAGCUCUACACUGCACAGCUCUUUGCUAAGUCAUUAGUAAAAAAUUCACACACUGUGGCUAGUCUCUUAUCGACUACUAUUCUUUUUGUGACCAUCCAUUGCUUUAACUUGAAGAAUCAGGAGUGUUCUGAAACAGGUUAAAGUAAAUGUGCUUUUUCACGUAUUUGCAGACUAUUUACAAUAAAACAGGCACAUUUCAUGUGAGAAAGUUUUGACAUUGGCUGAGUUCUGACAGUAAAUAAAAGGAAUGUGGUUGUAGAUCUCCUCUUUCAUGUCAUGUUAUAGCUCAUGCCCAGUAAUGAUUUUAGAAGAUGCUUGAGAAAUAUUUGAUAUUUUUAACAUAAAUUAAUUUUUUAUGGACCAACAUUCGUUUAAUGAAUGUUUCUAGCAAUUGAAAUGUCUUUCACAUGGUGAAAAUGAACUUAUCUAAUCACCCAGAUGUGUUUUGACUUUGUUAACAAGGCAUCAUUAAUGGCUGUCAUGGUAUGUUACAUUAUGUUGGUUACCAGAUGUUGAUUUAGGUUUAAAAUAUUUUACACACAAGUUUUGCCAUAAAACGCAACGGUACUCCAUUUUUCCGUUCUUUUGCAUGUUAUUCAUAUGUUGGUCAAAAUUUUUGUUUUUUACUAAAUUCUUAGGCUAUAUUGGAGUGUCCUAACUGAUGCAAAUUAUAUAUCUGUUGUUCAAAAUUGCCCACACCAAGAAACUUGAAUUAUUUGUGUUGUGUUGGUAUUGACAGCAUUGUGCCCUAGUGUGCAAAUGGUUUUAUUGUGGCAUUUUAGUGUGUAAAGAAAGUUUUAGCAGUAGUGUUAGCAAAUGGACAGGCCUGAAGAGUUUUUAAUAUGCAUGCUUAAAACUUGUCAGAUCUUUAGAAAUUAAAGUAAAUCUUCAGAAAGAUAUUUUAUCUGUCCAAUUGUUUUUCCUUCUUUGGAGAGUUAAAACUUUAGGUACACAUAUAGGAAACAAAUUGUUUAUAUCAAAAAUCAAGUAAAAACUAAAUUUUCAUAUGAAUACUGCUAGAUGUCUACUCUUUGCUGUGGUCUGAAGUGCAGUGAUGUCUGCAGAGGGAAAAAAGGCAGAAUAAAGUUGCUACGUUAGAGCACCACACUGUGAACCCUGAAGACAUUCUUUACGUGUAACUGACCUUUCUGGAGGGCAUCUGAAGGGGCAGCUGGGAGGUUAACAUAGGCGACUCCUCAGUGUUUUGCUCUGUAGCCAGAGAGAAGCCUUUCACUUGCUGUUUCAAAGAUUGUAGCCCUUAAUUCACCAGCAGGUGUAAAACAUUGUUUGAAAAAUCUGAUAUCUUUCUCAGUCUUGUUUUUGUGAACAGUGGCAACCCAGUAGUCCUUCCAUUUGAAUCCAGUGAAGCUCACUCAAAGGUCCAGCCAGUGAGAAAUCAUAAGCACACAGUUGUGUGACUCAUUCCAUCUUCCCAGUACCCUACCAACUUUCCCCACUCAGGAAUAGCAGGCAUCAUUGUAAUUCCAGUUAGCAUUGGACAAAGCCUUGAUUUCUGAUGUCAGCGGUGGCAUCCUGUUUAAUCCAGAUACCUACUGCUCCCCUGCAGGAAAGCAGCUUUUAAAAGAACCUUCUAUACUUAUGACACUGUGUCGUCAACUCUAGCUUCGUAACCCAUUGAUAAUGGAACACAGAGCAACAUGAAUGAAAUUUUCACUCUACAGCACAGUGUGCUCUGAUAAGAAACUUCCUUGCAGAUUAAAAGUGUGUGUGAGACCGAGACUCGGGACCUUUGCCUUUCUGUGGACAAGUGAAGUUUGGAAGGUAGGAGACGAGUUACUGGUGGAAUUGAAACUGUGAGGAUGAAUCAUGAGUCGUGUGGGUAGCUCAGAUGCCUUUCACGGGCAAGUGCUCAAGUUCAAGUUUCGGUCCAGCACACAGUUUUAAUCAGCCAGACAGUUUCACAGAGCAACAUUAUGAAAUUUGGGGCACACCCCUUGGUUGUUUGGGUAAUAAUACACAUUUAAAUGUGUUCAAGAAACUUUGGGAUUUCUUACACCACUAGGUUUUUCAGUUGAGUUAAGCAAGAUCUUACCAUUGUAUGCUCAGAGGUUUGUAGCAACUCAGUACUUGGAGUUGUAACAAAGUUUUAAGAAUGGAAGGAUGUGUCCCAUAAGGUGUUUCAUUUUGUAACAUAAAAUUUUUGCAGGCUUAAUAUAAAGUUACACACUUUGAUCAUUUCCAUAAAAGUCAGCAAAAAAUAUGAUUUUUCAAUGUUAAUUGGGAAAACUAGAAACCACAAAUUUAACAUAAUAUUAAAACCAGUCACUUAAUAUUAAUAGCUAGUAUGUCAGGCAAAAUGUGUUAUAUUAAUAAACCUGGAAUGAUACAAUCCCUUCUUUUGUUCACUUGGUGAUGCUAGG
Long non-coding RNA from Schistocerca nitens (vagrant locust), 3628 nucleotides. RefSeq lists it as uncharacterized. The record is from RefSeq and is a predicted model, not a curated record. Lineage: Eukaryota; Metazoa; Arthropoda; Insecta; Orthoptera; Acrididae. The transcript is spliced from 4 exons.